Molecule: long non-coding RNA, 1306 nt
Organism: Oncorhynchus tshawytscha (Chinook salmon)
Lineage: Eukaryota; Metazoa; Chordata; Actinopteri; Salmoniformes; Salmonidae
Source: Ensembl
GGAGAAUGACUAGUUCUGAAAACUAACGUUUCCCCCCGUCUCAUCAAUUAACCCUAUAAAUUCAGGUAUGUAAUGUGCAAAAUUGCAAUAUGACUCAAAUUAUUGAUGUAGCAUGGUUAAUUACAUAGUUCAUGAGUUUGAUGGUGUUCAAGGAAUAUGUGAAAAACUAGUUGGCAUUUUCCCCAUUGUCACUGAUACUCCACCUGAUGUGGUGGAAGUGUCGAACCAGAUCAGAACGCCUUCGAAGACCACCUUCAGGCGCGGACUUAAAAAACUUCCACAUCCUUUUACCAGGUGAGACUGAACAUGGACAGGGUACAUGAGAAAACGGAGAGCCACCGGAGUAGAAUCAAGGUGACCAAGAGGUUCGACAUCUGGGCAAAUGACUUAGCUUGAAAGGAAGACGAGACCCGGGAAAGCUUGGUGCUUCUAGCUGGGGUCACCAUCCGUUAUUAAGAACCACACAAACUCUUAGUUAACACAGUUGUCAAGCCAUACUGUGCUGUAUUUGCUCUGUUUAAUCAGCGUCAUUAAACAACCUCAACUGGCCUAUCAUCCGUGCCCUUACAAGCACCUGUGCUACGUAAAGUCCUCAACUACAUCCAGGACCUAGGAGUUAUGCCCAACACCCAGACAUGGAUCCACCUGAUGUCCUCCAUUACCAACCACACUCCAACUUUCCAUUACAUCAGCUACUGUUAUUGUCAUUAUCUGCUAAGAAAAAGCAAGCCAACUAUCAUACUGGGCUCAUUAUGUGAGAUACACAGAUUAGCUUAAAACACUAGCACUGCAAACACUCAGAACAAAGAGGGGAGCAGCGCCUGGAUUUUGCGGUCUCCUUCUUUGAGUCCACCUUCCAAGACGGACGACCUGUUGAAAACAAGUGACAGGCAGAACCUCCCAUCCACACAAUACCCACCUCCUCUCUGUUCCACACACCAGAAUUCAGCAUUUCAGUCUAUGAUUGCCAUGUGAGUGUACAAAAAAAUAAGUAAAUUGACACAUGUACCUAUAAAAUAUUGCCAGAUUGUUUUUUAUAGCUGUUUCAUAGGAUGUUCAUUAUUGUCAAUUGUAAGGUAUUCCUUGAUGGUAUUUGUUAAUUACAACAAUUAAUAAUGUUGAAGACAUACAAUAUAUAUGUUCAACCACAAGGGUGUACUAAUGAGGUAUGGUUUUAAAAAUCAUUUUGAGGACUAAUAUUAUUUCAGUGUAGAUAAGUGAUGGCCUGUUUAAAAUGAAAACAUGCCAGCCAGACCAGCCAGUGUAUUAUUCAAAUGUAUUUGCAUAUGAAUGGAGUGGAACUUAG